GACGAACGCUGGCGGCGUGCUUAACACAUGCAAGUCGAACGGAGUGCCCCAGACAGAGGUUUCGGCCAAUGGAAGGGAACACUUAGUGGCGGACUGGUGAGUAACGCGUGAGGAACCUGCCUUUCAGAGGGGGACAACAGUUGGAAACGACUGCUAAUACCGCAUGACGCAUUUGGGUGGCAUCACCUGAAUGCCAAAGAUUUAUCGCUGAAAGAUGGCCUCGCGUCUGAUUAGCUAGUUGGUGGGGUAACGGCCCACCAAGGCGACGAUCAGUAGCCGGACUGAGAGGUUGACCGGCCACAUUGGGACUGAGAUACGGCCCAGACUCCUACGGGAGGCAGCAGUGGGGAAUAUUGGGCAAUGGACGCAAGUCUGACCCAGCAACGCCGCGUGAAGGAAGAAGGCUUUCGGGUUGUAAACUUCUUUUGUCAGGGAAGAGCAGAAGACGGUACCUGACGAAUAAGCCACGGCUAACUACGUG
RNAcentral lists this ribosomal RNA (481 nucleotides) under uncultured bacterium. Its description in RNAcentral is "bacterial SSU rRNA". It matches the Rfam family "Bacterial small subunit ribosomal RNA", at positions 28 to 507 of the family's 1533-position model. The record is from RNAcentral.